This 86-nucleotide transfer RNA is filed under the name bacterium. Its description in RNAcentral is "tRNA-Leu". It matches the Rfam family "tRNA". Rfam says of the family: Transfer RNA (tRNA) molecules are approximately 80 nucleotides in length. The record is from RNAcentral. RNAcentral also lists the same sequence under 3 other names.
GCCCGGGUGGCGGAAUCGGAAGACGCACAGGACUUAAAAUCCUGGGCCCCGAAAGGGGCGUGAGGGUUCGAGUCCCUCCCCGGGCA